Rhipicephalus sanguineus (brown dog tick) is the source of this 1278-nucleotide long non-coding RNA. RefSeq lists it as uncharacterized. Lineage: Eukaryota; Metazoa; Arthropoda; Arachnida; Ixodida; Ixodidae. The record is from RefSeq and is a predicted model, not a curated record. The transcript has 3 exons.
UGUCAGGUCUGGCAUCUGGAUUGGCAAGCAGGCUUCGGGGACGUUGGUCUGGGUCAUGUCUGAUUUGAUGUUCUGGCAUUUGGUGUCCGAUGUUUUGGACAGUAGAUGAGCUGAAAAAAAAAACCGAAGCACGACUGGAACUUUGUCCGAAAAGUCUUGGUGAAAGGAAAGGGCAACAUCCUGCCCAGCCUCCACAUCACAGAAGCUGUCGUCCCUUAAAGUUGACACGCAGAUGCCAUUGGCUCAGGAGGACAGCAUCGACUUCGUUAUUGGUCAUCAAAGGACGAUGGAAAGGCCUCUUCGGAGUCUACAUGGGGUCUGCAGUGAGCGAGGACGAGGGAAGAAAAGGAUGAAGGAUGUGCGGCGGCACCUCUCCCAGAAACUGGCGGAUUGCCAGAGAAAGUAGAACAAUGCUCAGUUCGAACUAUAAAAAAUUUGAAUGACAUCCCCUAGGCAUUUGUUGACUUCAUUACCUGGCGGCUUUGUAUGUUUGUCUAACAAACGAGCCCUUAAUUAACUCCUCUUUUGUUCAUAGUAGAACAUGUAGUUUUACAGAUUUUUCUAUGGACAGAAUCAAGUAAAAGGCAGAAAAAACUUGUAACACUUCAUUCAAACAUAUGGUAAUACACACUCCAUUCAUUAUAUGAUGCCAUAUUUAAAGCACACCCAAACUAUGGGCUUGAAGUGUGACUGGUGUGGCCGUAGCGCUACCUCUUGGUGCUGGUGUGCUCUGCUUCGUGGUGGUUGCACUAGGAGUGUUUCAGUUGAAAUGCACAUUGAAGCACACAAAUUAGCCGACUUUUAUAGGAUCUUGCAUGCCCGAACUUGUAUCGCAGGGACUCUAGCCUGCAACGUUGCCUAUGUUGGGUCGUGGUCAUCUUGGCUUGGCCAUGCUGUGAUUUGGCAUACUAAGCUGCAUAAGAUGGUUCCAGUGGGUGACGGUGGUUCUUAGAUGAUCGUCACAGGUGCAGCCGACUAUUUUCCACUUGCAGCUCUGUGACCACUGCGGGAAAUCCUGGGGCAGCAAUUGGCCGCACUGAUAUUCUAGGGCAACAGCAAUGCAGUCUGCUUGGUGGUUGUGGGCACAGACUGCUCAGACCUUGCUGAUACACUAGAAUUACACAAGGUUGGCAAAGUGUUAAUGCUGUACAGCCUAUGACCACCUUUCCUAGGCUGACACGAGUUCAUGGCAUCUGCUUGGAAACCUGUGGUCUCUUGCGAGUGGCUGGUAGUCUUCGAGCGCAUGAGCAAGUCUUUUGUGUGUCUGGCAGUGUUUCU